Molecule: RNA transcript, 1966 nt
Organism: Galeopterus variegatus (Sunda flying lemur)
Lineage: Eukaryota; Metazoa; Chordata; Mammalia; Dermoptera; Cynocephalidae
Gene: DNAJC28
Gene name: DnaJ (Hsp40) homolog, subfamily C, member 28
Exons: 3
Source: RefSeq, a predicted model, not a curated record
UAGUGCUAAAUACAUGUUUACUAUUUAUUGGUACUCUCAUUUUACAGAGAAGUAUCUUGCCUCAAGUACACAGCAAGUGGUAGAAACAAGAUUUCCAAACCACGUUUGAAAAUUCCCAAGACUCUGCCUUUUCCUUCUUUUGUCCUUUUUUGUUCUGUUUUGUUUUAAACUGUUUCCUGUACAGCAGGGGGCGAGGAGGAUGUGUAAUCCCCAGGUCAGUGGUUGAACGCAAGCCAGAAGACCUCUAUUUUCAUUUUGUCCUCUGACCGGUCCCCAGCCUCUACCAACGCCCGGCGCCUUGCAAGCUGCUCUACAGUACUCGAUGAAUUAAUGAGACCAGGUUUCCAAGCGUUGAUAUCUGCUAAGUAGCUUCGUGGCCGCCCGCAAGAUCUUUCUUAUUGUUCCUAGGAAGAACUCUGGGCACAAUAAUGAAUGCAAUGUACGGGAUGAUGGCUCAAAUCUUAAGAUCUCAUCUGAUAAAUGCCUCAGUGAUUCCUAGUCGAGUGAAAAUGCUUCCAUAUCUUGGCGUCAUUAGAAAUAGAAUGAUGUUGACCUAUAAAUCCAAAAAGGAGAUCAAAGAAUAUUAUAGGCUGCUGAAUCUGAAUGAAGGAUGCUCUGCAGAUGAUGUCAGGGAGUCUUUUCGUAAGUUGGCCAAGCAAUACCAUCCAGACAGUGGCUCUAAUACCGCUGAUUCUGCAACAUUUAUAAAGAUCGAAGAAGCUUAUAGAAGGGUGCUUUCCUCCGUGAUAGAACAAACAAAUGCCAGACAGAGUAAAGUUGAAGCAGAAGAAGAAGAAGAAAAAUUCAAAUAUAAAACACCCCAACACCGGCAUUAUUUAAGUUUUGAAGGUAUUGGUUUUGGGACUCCAAGUCAACGAGAGAAGCAAUAUAGGCAAUUUAGGGCAGACCGUGCAACAGAGCAAGUGAUGGAAUAUCAAAAGCAGAAACUACACAGCCAGUAUUUCACUGAUAGUCUAACUGUUAAAGAUGUAAAACAGAGCAAAGAACAAAAGAUAACUCAAGCAAUAGAGCGUUUAGUGGAGGACCUCAUUCAGGAAUCAAUGGCAAAAGGAGACUUUGACAAUCUCAGUGGGAAAGGAAAACCUCUAAAAAAGUUUUCUGGCUGUUCAUAUAUUGAUCCCAUGACUCACAACCUGAACAGAAUAUUGAUAGAUAAUGGAUACCAACCAGAAUGGAUCCUAAUGCAAAAGGAAAUAAAGGAUACUAUUGAGCAACUCAGAGAGGGAAUUUUAGUGUCUAGGAAAAAACUUGGGAAUCCAAUGACACCAACUGAACAGAAACAGUGGAAACAAGUUUGUGAGCAGUUUCAGGAAAACAUCAGAAAACUAAACAAGCGAAUUAAUGAUUUUAAUUUAAUUGUUCCCAUCCUGACCAGGCAAAAAGUCCAUUUUGAUGCACAGAAAGAAAUUAUCAGAGCCCAGAAAAUAUAUGAAACUCUUAUAGAAACAAAAGUCACAGAUAAAAACCCAAAUAACAUUGAUCAAGGUGAAGGAGAGGAAACACCUGGAGUCAAGACAGGUUUUUUUAACUGGAUGAAUCUGUGGAAGUUCAUUAAAAUAUGACCAUUUUGGUGUUCUGUAUCACAGUGCUGCCCCAAAUCCUUUUCAGUGGAACUGUCAUCAAACAUAGAGGCAGAGAUUUAGUGCUAUUCCAUCAGAAUUUGAGAACUAUCUUUCAGUGUGGACAAAGCCAGUUGCCAUGUCUUGAGGCAACCCUGGAGAGGCCCAUGUGGCAAAAUACUGAGGCCUCUAGCCAAUGGCCAUGUGAAUGAGCUUUAUUGGAAGAAGAACCUCCAGCCCCAGUCAAGCCUUCAGAUGACUAUAGCCCUGGCUGACAACUUGACUACAAGCUCAUGAGAGACCCUGUACCAGAACAGCCCACUUAAGCUGCUCCCAGACACCCAACCCUUUGAAACUGUGUGAGAUAAUAAAUGAAUGCUUGAUGU